UAAAUUUGAUCCCAUGCUAUUCGAGAUUGUGAUCUCCCCGUCUCAAAGUUUUUCUUGGACGAUGUCUAGGGUGAGUCCUGGCAUCGAGAGAUAGGAUGGGGGUGUACUGGAUUGCUGUGUUUUCUUCCGAAAUACCGUAAACGGAACUAGUCCUUCGAGACUACGGAAAUCCGUUAGCUGUGGGGAAUUUUUGUACAAACUCUGCAGAGUCAUAAAUCUCCAAAUCAUCUUAUCCAUAUCCAAAUAUUGCGCUGACUUAUUCUGACAAGUGCCAGUUUUUGGUGACAGAUACUCCGGUGAAUCUCAUGAGCACUAAGCCUGGUUAACAGUUUAUUCCUGUGGAUGGACUAACCCGUUUAUUAUCAUGAACUGAAUAUUUAUUAUGAGUAUUGUUUACUUGUGGAUUAAAGCCCUUUCUGUGAUGUCGCUCAGACGUCUGACUGUGGCAUUUCUUUUAAAGCCCUUUCUGUGAUGUCGCUCAGACGUCCGACUGUGGCAUUUCUUUUAAAGCCCUUUCUGUGAUGUCACUCAGACGUCCGACUGUGGCAUUUCUUUUAAAGCCCUUUCUGUGAUGUCGCUCAGACGUCCGACUGUGGCAUGAUUUUUUUUUCUGUUAUUAUUUGUUCACCCUUCGAGGCGUCGCUUCAGACACCCGAUCAGUUCUCAUUUAUAUUCUGUUGGGAUUUCAGGCAGACUACCGCCGUUUCCCUCGCACUUAUUUCGUUAUGCAAAUAUUUUAAUUGUGCAUUGGGAAGAUUAUUCAUGACGCAUCCAUGCAUGCAUUUUUUAUAUCUUAUGUCCGAACUGUCUUGUGAGUACUUUCAAAGUACUCACUGGCUUGUUGAUUUGGCCAGAUGCUGACGAAGGCGAUCUCAUGGAUGAAGAGUUCGAUAGUGAGUCCGACGCCUAGAGGAAUCCCAGUCAGUCUCGUGCGACCCUAGUCUUGGUCACAGUUUUAUAACCGCUUCCGCAACCCGAAUAAAUUUAUCGAGCCUCACCUCGACGCUCGAUGAGAUGUCAGUUUGAGAGUCGUGUUACCACACUCCCCAUUGUGUUAUUCCACCACCACUAUAUCCUCGAGUCAGUAGUAUGCCACCACACCAUCGUGCUAUAUCCGCCAUUAUGUAUAAUUAUUGGCGCGCUUGUAAUAAUUCGUUGAGCAGCCCUAGCUCAACCCUGUAAUAUAUUCUAUGCUACUAGCUUAUUAUAUCAAGUAUUUGUCUACCAGUGAGGAGGAUUUUCUCUCAUACUGGACUCAAAGAUUGGUUUCUCAAUAAAUAUUUUUAUUGGAAAACCUGUCGCGACAAGCUUGGUACCAGAGCCAGGCUGACUGUAGGAAGCCACUAGGUGCGGUCGCUAAUCGGUUAUUAGCAUGAUAGAGCCGAUUUAAUUUUUGUUGCAACUGUAGUCAUUUUCUGACAGUCAGCAUAAAUUUAUGAUCUGACCAUUCAGGAUUUUUGCCUACUUUUGUAGUUGGCCGACAACAACUGCGAGUCUCAGACCUUCGCCAACGUACCCGAUGGGUUCGUCAAGCUUCUCUCCUUGAUCGUUCAGGUCGCGAUGGGGCCAUCCGUGCGCCCAGUCUUCACACUCCGCCAGCACAGAGUCAACGACGGUCUGACCAUGCACCAGGCCACAGUGCAGUUCAAGGGAGGGCGUGGUGAGCUACGCCGCUACCUGUUCGUGGGAAGAGCCAUGCCUACGGAGAGGCAUGCUAUGCAGAUGGCAGCCCGUGAGGCGAUAGCCCGCCUCAGGGAUGUCCUUCUCGCGAUGAAGACUCGUCGCUACCGUUAUCUUCCAUGCCAUGUGCCCUACACCUGCCACUACGCAUUCUCCUGCCCCAGAGGAGAACGAGACGAGGCUUUUGAGAUGCUUAUUGAGUAUCUCCGGGCUCUGGAGGCAGCCUUCGACAACCUGGUGGACGACUUCGUGGCUGCCCGCAUGGACUCAGUCCAUGGCUGUGCCGCCAACAGGAGGGAGCUCCUGCUCACUGCACCGCCACUGACUUUUGUCUCGUCUUCAGCAUCGCAUGCACCUACUCGUCACCUGCCUACCACCGGAGGGACCAACCAGGCCUUUGCGCCCACUCCAGCGCACACUGCACCACCCGCUGUGCCCACUCCCAUUCGUGUUGCUCCGCCCCUGGCACCAGUUCCAUCUACCCGACGCGGCUCUUCUCGUCUGGAGCCUAUUAGUGAGGAGGAGGUCGAGUCCCCAGCCUCACUACGCCUCACCCUUGGCAGGGCCAAGGAGAUCAUCGACAUUUCCGGCUGAGUGCGUUUGCCCGUCAUGCGAUGUACCGCUUUGUAAGAUGUGUUGUGAGAAGUAGCUUGUGUGCGCAUCAUGUAGAACUGGAGGAGUGGACUAGCCUAAAUAACAUGUCAGGAUUAUGUAUGCAUAUCCUGAGUGAUGUACUGUAUAAUUAUCACCCGCGUGUAAGAUAUGUAAUGAGCAGUCCUUCUCCGUGCGCAAAUCAAUUUGUUUUCUUAAGUGAUCUUGGACUUUUAAAUUGAUUGCCAUCCUUGUGCAUUUUUAUUUUUGGAGUUGUUUUUGACGACCAUCUUCAUUUUUCUUAUGAGUUUUAUAAAAUAUAUCCCCAGAGUGAAAAAUGUCUCGUCCUUGGACACGCUCCAUGCCUACUCCGCCAGAGGAAAAUUUGGACACUCAACCAGGCAACAAUUUCACGCAAGGGCAGUCGAGCCAACAGGGCAGUGAAACGGCACUUUCUCAAAUGUGCCGCCUUUAUGAACAGAGUCAGCAACAACAUUGUGAAAUGAUGAACCAAGUCAUCAACAUGGGAAAUUACCAUGGACAGUAUCCAUAGCAUUCCAAGUUAUCCGAGCUACAGAAGACGCGCCCCCAAACAUUUUCACAUACUGACAAGCCUCUUGAAGCCGAGGACUGGCUUCGGGACAUGGAGAGGAAAUUAAUUAUUGCAAAAUGUUCAGAUCCCGAGAAGGUAUUGUAUGCUCCGCACUAUCUUACAGGAGCAGCCGCAUCUUGGUGGGAGAAUUUUCUGCAUUUGCAUCCAAACGAAGGUGACAUAACCUGGGAUGAUUUCAAGGAAGGUUUCUGCGGUGCACACAUUCCUAAGAGCAUUAUGAAAAUCAAAAAGAGAGAGUUCGAUGACCUCAAACAAAGGAACUUGAUAGUGGCAGAUUACAACAGUCAAUUUACACUAUUAUCUCGCUACGCCAAUGAAGAGCGUAUGACUGAAAGCAAGAAGAUGGAGAAAUUCCUUGACGGUCUAGCGCCCGCACUUAAAUGACAACUGGUCGUGCACACUUUUCCUGAUUUUAAGACACUGGUGGACAAGGCCAUUACUCUGGAAAAUGAGAGACGCAGUCUGGAAGAUAUCCGCAAGCGAAAAAGGGACCAGACCAACCAUGCCCGCAAUCCCCGAAGCAAGACAGAUUUUCAAAAGGGUGGGACACACAAAUUCCCAUCAAAUGUCUCACGCCAAAUCAAGAAUUUCCAUGAAAGGGACAAGGAGUUCAUUUAUCGCCCCGGUGUUACAUGUUACGCCUGUGGAGAAGAAGGGCACUAUGCCAAGCAGUGUCCCAAGCCUAGAAACUCAACCCCAAAGCCAAACAACGGCGGUAAUAGUUCAACGCCCAAGCGAAACAAUUUUAAUCCCAGCAACAACCACAGGAAGGGUCAUCUGAACCACGUAACCAAAGAGGAGGCACAAAACGCUCCGGAUAUCGUACUCGGUACGUUUCCUGUCAACACAGUACCUGCAACGGUUUUGUUUGAUUCUGGAGCUUCUCACUCUUUCAUUUCGAAAAGUUUUGCUUUGCAAAAUAAUUUUUCGAUGCUUCCUUUGGAGAAAUCCAUGAUCAUCAAAUCCCCUGGGAUUCAGCAAGUUACUCAGAAUUUCUGUCAGAAUGUGGUCAUUGAGUUCAAAGGAUUGGAGUUUCACGCAAAUCUUAUUGUGUUGGAAAACAAAGGAUUAGAUGUCAUCCUAGGGAUGGACUGGCUGACCACCAACAAAGGUUUUAUUGACUGUUUCAAUCGGACCGUAAUCCUCACACACCACCACGGGAAGACGAUAAGAGUGUCAGCCAAGGAAGGAAAAAUACCCCGGCAACCUAGAUUGAAUAAGGUAGACGUUUCUGAACUAAACAAGGUUCCAGUGGUAUGUGAAUUUCCAGAUGUAUUCCCUGAAGAACUACCAGGCAUGCCACCAGACCGAGAGAUAGAAUUCUGCAUUGAGCUCGCACCAGGAACCACCCCCAUAUACAAGAAACCAUACAGAAUGGCACCAUCCGAGUUGGUUGAAUUGAAGAAGCAAAUAAAAGAAUUACUGGACAAAGGAUAUAUUCGAGCCAGCUCCUCACCUUGGGGAUCACCAAUUCUAUUUGCCAAAAAGAAGGAUGGAACACUGAGAUUGUGUAUUGACUAUCGAGCACUUAAUAUGGUCACAAUUAAGAACAAAUACCCGAUGCCAAGGAUAAACAAUUUGUUUGAUCAACUCGCUCAGACCAAGGUAUUUUCAAAAAUUGACUUAAGAUCUGGAUACCAUCAAUUAAAGGUGCGAACGGAAGAUAUCCCCAAAACAGCCUUCACUUCCAGAUAAGGACUGUAUGAGUUCACAGUAAUGCCAUUUGGGUUAACGAAUGCUCCUGCAUAUUUUGUUCACCUCAUGAACAAAGUAUUUAUGAAAUAUAUGGACAAGUUCGUCGUGGUAUUCAUCGACAAUAUUCUGGUAUACUCCAAAACACCAGAAGAGCACGCAGAUCAUCUCAGGAUCGUGCUAGGAGAACUCAGGAAACACCAAUUGUAUGCCAAGUUCAGCAAGUGCGAAUUUUGGCUAAGACAAGUAGGCUUUCUAGGCCACGUGCUAACCCAAGACGGUAUCGCAGUGGACCCAGAGAAAGUCAAGGCCAUACUUGGCUGGAAGUCGCCAGCCAGUGUAACAGAUAUACGUAGUUUCUUGGGAAUGGCAGGAUAUUACCGCAGAUUUAUUGAAGGAUUUUCCACCAUAGCCAAGCCUAUAACGUAGUUACUCAAGAAAGACAAGAAGUUUGAAUGGAUAGAAGCCUGCGAAAAGAGUUUCCAAGAGCUAAAGCGAAAAUUAACAACAGCACCAGUAUUAAUUGUGCCAGACAUACACAAGAAUUUUGAAGUGUUUUGUGACGCGUCCAGAAAGGGUCUCGGAUGCGUGUUGAUGCAGGAAGGCAAGGUUGUCGCCUAUGCUUCAAGGCAACUUCGCAAGCAUGAGGAAAAUUAUCCCACUCAUGACUUAGAAAUGGCAGCGGUCAUUCAUGCACUCAAAGAAUGGAGGCAUUUCUUACUUGGGAACCGAUGUGAAAUAUAUACAUAUCACAAAAGUCUCAAAUAUAUUUUCACGCAGCCAGAACUAAAUUUACGACAGAGACGCUGGUUGGAAUUGGUAAAGGAUUAUGAUGUUGGUAUCCAUUACCAUCCAGGAAAGGCAAAUGUAGUGGCCGAUGCUCUUAGUCGGAACCCCAACUCCGACGAAAGCAAUCUGCAAAGCUUGAGGCCCGAAUUCCAACAAGAAUUUGCCAAGCUCAAUUUGUUAAUGGUCGCAGAAGGCACCAUAUCAAACUUGGAAAUACGACCCGACCUUGUGGAGGAAAUUAAAAGAGCUCAGCCCGGUCACCCCAGCAUUGAAGGCAUCAAAAGAAAGGUGAGUAUGGGCAAGGCCUCGGAGUUCGUCAUAGACAAUGGAGGAAUAUUGUGGUACGGAGAAAGACUCUGCGUGCCAAACAUAGAAGACCUUAAACAGCAAAUCCUAGCUGAAGCCCAUACCACCCCGUACUCGAUCCACCCUGGCGAGACCAAGAUGUAUAAAGAUAUUCAGGAAAGAUUUUGGUGGCACGGUAUGAAGAGGGACAUAGCCACCUUCAUUACACGUUACGACUCGUGUCAACGCAUAAAAGCUGAGCAUCAGAGACCGGCCGGACUACUGCAACCAAACAAAAUACCUGAGUGGAAAUGGGAUGAAAUAGGGAUGGAUUUUAUUGUUGGGCUACCUCGGUCACAGCAUGGGAAUGAUGCCAUCUGGGUCAUCACUGACAGGUUAACCAAGGUGGCACAUUUCAUCCCAGUAAAGACAACCUACAACACUCAGCGGCUUGCCAGGAUUUAUCUCACCCGCAUAGUUUGUCUGCAUGGAGUCCCGAAGACUAUAAUAUCCGACAGAGGCACUCAGUUCGUCUCAAGAUUUUGGGAGCAUUUGCAACAGGCUCUGGGAACUCAACUAGCCUUCAGUACCGCAUAUCACCCACAGACCGAUGGACAAACGGAACGAGUAAACCAGAUUUUAGAAGACAUGCUGAGAGCAUGUGUCCUCACAUAUGGAACCAGUUGGGAAGAAAGCCUGCCAUACGCCGAAUUCGCGUACAACAAUAACUACCAGACCAGCCUGCAAAUGGCACCAUUUGAGGCUUUAUACGAACGGAGAUGUCGUACCCCGUUGAAUUGGUCAGAGACCAGAGACAGCCGCAUCUUCGGACCGGACAUGCUCAGAGAAGCCGAGGAAAAAGUCAAGCUAAUCAGAGACCGACUUAAGACCGCUCAAAGUCGACAGAAGAGUUAUUAUGAUCAGAAACAUCAUAGGGUCAGCUUCGAGCCCGGUGAGUUCGUAUACCUGAAAGUAUCUCCUAUGAGAGGAUUGCAACGAUUCAAGAUUAAAGGGAAGCUAGCACCAAGAUUCAUUGGACCAUUCUAUAUAAUGGCGCGAAGAGGCAAGGUAGCCUACUAGCUAGACUUACCCAAGGAAUUAUCCGAUGUCCACGACGUGUUCCACGUCUCGCAAUUGAGGAAGUGGAUGAGCAACACAGAGAAACAAGUAUCCCAUGAGAGCAUUGACGUACAGCCAGACCUCACUUAUCGGGAACGUCCAGUAAGAAUAAUAGAGGAGUCUGAAAGGAGAACCCGACAUAAGACCACCAAAUUCUUCAGAGUACAGUGGAGCAAUCACACCGACAGUGAAGCUACUUGGGAAAGAGAGGAUUUUCUUCGGACAGAGCAUCCACACUUAUUUAAGGAUCAGCUGAAAUCUCGGGGACGAGAUUUUUCCUAAGGGGGUAGGUGUUGUGACACUCCAAAAUUUUUGAUUUGGUUUUCAUCAAAAACUUUAUUGGAUUCUAAAGGAGGGCCUUCAAAAAUUUCUCUUUCAGAAAAAACCUUCCUCUUCAAAAACUUCCUUUCACCUUUGGCAAGGAUUUCCUUUCCUUUUCAAUUUUGAUGUUAAAAUUUUGGAAGCCUUUCUUCUGGUUAUUUCCCUCUCAAACUUAUUUAUUUUCAUUUAAAAAAAAGAAACCCUAGGAGUUUUGGGACUUCUUUCUUUUUGAAAUCACCCUUGAUUUCACCAUGUCACAGGUGAUAAAACCACUCCAAAACCUCCCCUCCCUCUUGGAUCAACCUAAGUUCUCUGUCCCAACUAAUCCAAGCAGGUUUUGUAUUUUAUUUCAAACAUUUUUCAUCUCAAAUCAUUUUUGUCAAUUAUUUGGAGUCUGAGCCAUUUACAAAGCAAGUACCUUAUUUCCUUUGAGUUUUGAUCUCAAACCAACUCCUCUGGUUUGUCCUUAGCAUCCACAACUCAGAACCAUCUUGAUCCACUCUACUUCUUUUCAAAUUUUUCAAAUUUCAGCCUCUGCAAGUUUGGACCAGAUUUGCCAAAUUUGGUGAAAUUCAUAUCUACAUUCACCCAAAAAUUCUACAAAAAUUCAGGCAGCCUACUGGAUCAAAGAGUAGCCACUCCACCAAAAAUCAGCUCUAGGAAAAAUCCCUAGAGGCCUGAAUCAUUCUGUCGAACACCUUGCAUACACUGAAUUUUUGCACUUUCAGUAAUUCAGUAAGUUCAGAGUUCAGUGUCGUUUUCCCUCGCCCGAUUCAGUCACGCGUGGACAGUGCGCUUGGCACGAUCCUCGCCGCCUCUCCCUCUUGUCUGGAGUGCCGCACGCGCGCUUGGCGCCUUCCGGGCGUCGGUGGCGCCCUAGCCCGCCUGCGCCGGCGUGUCCCGCGGCGGCCGAUCCACCAUUACGGCCGACAGGAAGCAAAACGGCGGCGCAACGCUGUUCGGCGCCGCCCAACUCUCCCUGGCUCUCCGCGUGGCACAUGCAAUGCCAGCACAGCCCGCUGCACAGUCACCGUGGCCCGGCAAGCACGGAACGCGCUCCCUGCCGCCGACGUGCCGCACGGCCGUUUCGUUGGAGCCGGCCGUAAACUCUUCCCCCCGUGCUGAGCUGGACCCCGGAAUGGAACCUCUACUCCACCUAGUCGAUGCCUAUACCCCUAAUCCCUCUGCCCAACCCCGGCACCGCCGUAAUCGCUCGCCGGACUUAUCCCGUGCGCGGCAACCGCCUCGGGCUGGCUAUAUAUAGCACCCCCGGGUUCCCUCUCGCCCCCGCACAUCUCCACUACCUCUCUGGACCCCGACCAACAGCUAGAAGAGCCUCGAGGGGCCCUUCUUCCUCGACUCCGGCCGCCUCGAUCCGCCUCGGCCUCCACCUCGAUUCGCUCCGGUGAGGCCGUCCCCGGCGCCCAAACUUCGUCAAUAGCUCCCUCGAGCACCCAGUAAGCUAACCCACGCACCAAUUUGACCUUCGCAGCUCUUCCCGGCGAAGUCCACCUCCACCCGAGCCGCCGUCCGCCGGAGAAAGGCUCGUCGUCGACGUGGUGCUCGCCGGCGACCACCACCACCACCAACCGACGCGGAAGAACGUCCUGAGCAAGGAGGUACCCUCCGAUCCCCUUGCCUCGCCGUGGAUCGCCGCCGGCGACCACCGCGGCUCUCGGGCUCCGUCGAGCUCAGCCGCCCAUUUUGAAAUUUCAAACCUGACGGGUGGGACCUGCCCGUCAGCCUCUCUGUCUCUUUCAAAACGAACCGUUUCUGAAAGCGUAUUCUACCAAAUGUGUUUUCCCUCCUGGGCUGGCGUAUUCUCUGCCGAAGCGUUUUCAGUUUUUAUGAGCUAGCCCCUGGAAAUAUUCUGUUUUAUUACAGAUGAGUCCCUGGACUAAAACCCUUAUAACUUUUAAACAGAAAAGUAUUUUUGAUUGAUUCUUUUUCUGUCCUCUUUGAAAUUUUGUCUAGUUUUUUAUCAGAUUUAUUUGAAAAAAAUUUGGAAUACUUUUUGUGCACUUCUUGGUAUUUACGAUAGCACCUAUUUUUUUUUGUAUACCGUAGAUACCGAAGGAGGUGACGGAGCCGCGAACUUCACCGAGCUAGGUUCCGACUACUCCGAACCAGGCAAGCAUGUUUGAACUUUUGAUAUGAUGAAUGUCUUGGCAUGUUUUGCAUUUAGUUAGUUUCAUGGCAUGUUGAUGAGCAUACCCAUGAACGUUAUUUUCAUGCAUGAUCAAGGUAAGUGAGCUCGAUGAUCCAUAAGUGGAUUGGAUGUGAGUAUGAAAGGCCAUGGGUUGGCAUGAGGAUGGGUAAGAUGGCAGUGUUGUAGCAUGCCAGUCUUAUGCCAAACUAUUUGACUACUGUGUCAAAUCGUAUCGGUCCAGUUCCUACCUUUUCCUUCCUUGUACUACCACAUGUUUUCCGCAAGGAAUAUGGCUUAGUAAGUUGCAAACCGCUUUCCUGGUACACACCAAAAGGAGAUGCCGGGAUGAUGGUUCCAUGGCCCUAGAUUAAAGCCAGUCAUCCGGUCAGGGGGCAUGGGUGUUUCCGGUUGGGACCGAGAGGGGGGCACCCCUUAGAGCGCGCGUAUAUAAAUUUGAUCCCAUGCUAUUCGAGAUUGUGAUCUCCCCAUCUCAAAGUUUUUCUUGGACGAUGUCUAGGGUGAGUCCUGGCAUCGAGAGAUAGGAUGGGUGUGUACUGGAUUGCUGUGUUUUCUUCCGAAAUACCGUAAACGGAACUAGUCCUUCGAGACUACGGAAAUCCGUUAGCUGUGGGGAAUUUUUGUACAAACUCUGCAGAGUCAUAAAUCUCCAAAUCAUCUUAUCCAUAUCCAAAUAUUGCGCUAACUUAUUCUGACAAGUGCCAGUUUUUGGUGACAGAUACUCCGGUGAAUCUCAUGAGCACUAAGCCCGGUUAACAGUUUAUUCCUGUGGAUGGACUAACCCGUUUAUUAUCAUGAACUGAAUAUUUAUUAUGAGUAUUGUUUACUUGUGGAUUAAAGCCCUUUCUGUGAUGUCGCUCAGACGUCCGACUGUGGCAUUUAUUUUAAAGCCCUUUCUGUGAUGUCGCUCAGACGUCCGACUGUGGCAUUUCUUUUAAAGCCCUUUCUGUGAUGUCGCUCAGACAUCCGACUGUGGCAUUUCUUUUAAAGCCCUUUCUGUGAUGUCGCUCAGACGUCCGACUAUGGCAUUUCUUUUAAAGCCCUUUCUGUGAUGUCACUCAGACGUCCGACUGUGGCAUGAUUUUUUUUGUUAUUAUUUGUUCACCCUUCGAGGCGUCGCUUUAGACACCCGAUCGGUUCUCAUUUAUAUUCUGUUGGGAUUUCAGGCGGACUACCGCCGUUUCCCUCGCACUUAUUUCGUUAUGCAAAUAUUUUAAUUGUGCAUUGGGAAGAUUAUUCAUGACGCAUCCAUGCAUGCAUUUGUUAUAUCUUACGUCCGAACUGUCUUGCGAGUACUUUCAAAGUACUCACUGGCUUGUUGAUUUGGCCAGAUGCUGACGAAGGCGAUCUCAUGGAUGAAGAGUUCGAUAGCGAGUCCGACGCCUAGAGGAAUCCCAGUCAGUCUCGUGCGACCCUGGUCUUGGUCACAGUUUUAUAACUGCUUCCGCAACCCGAAUAAAUUUAUCGAGCCUCACCUCGACGCUCGAUGAGAUGCCAGUUUGAGAGUCGUGUUACCACACUCCCCAUUGUGUUAUUCCACCACCACUAUAUCCUCGAGUCAGUAGUAUGCCACCACACCAUCAUGUUAUAUCCGCCAUUAUGUAUAAUUAUUGGCGCACUUGUAAUAAUUCGUUGAGCAGCCCUAGCUCAACCCUGUAAUAUAUUCUAUGCUACUGGCUUAUUGUAUCAAGUAUUUGUCUACCAGUGAGGAGGAUUUUCUCUCAUACUGGACUCAAAGAUUGGUUUCUCAAUAAAUAUUUUUAUUGGAAAACCGGUCGUGACAA
RNAcentral lists this long non-coding RNA (11041 nucleotides) under Triticum aestivum (bread wheat). Its description in RNAcentral is "long non-coding RNA (TAES_LNC009807)". Lineage: Eukaryota; Viridiplantae; Streptophyta; Magnoliopsida; Poales; Poaceae. The record is from RNAcentral.